Long non-coding RNA from Oncorhynchus tshawytscha (Chinook salmon), 415 nucleotides. NCBI's taxonomy places the organism in Eukaryota, Metazoa, Chordata, Actinopteri, Salmoniformes, Salmonidae. The record is from Ensembl.
AUCGUCUAACAAUUUGUAAUUCUUAAACGUUUUAACGUAAUAUGUGAAAAUAAGCUUCCGGUUAUACGACGUCAUUAGGGGCUUCCGCUUCCGGUAAAGCAGAACAAUUUAAACGAAGAUUGAAAAGAGGAGCCAUGCAUGCAUUCAACACGGAUCAUGGUGGGUGUCAGAGCGGUCUCGCCUGUCGUCCUUUAGGGAUCCUUCACAGUGAAGCAUGAGGAUCAGAGUACAGCUGGACUGUGGAAGUCUGUCUUUCUCCUACCCAGUCAACAGAAAACAUCUCCAAGUUCUCACACCUAUGGCGACGUGUUCACCUACUUCUGUAAUCUGGAUAAAGACACACACACCACCCUCUGAAGCUGCUACCAGAGCAGUCAUAAAUCCACUUCCCAAAGUUCCUCAUGAAGAAAUGCUG